GAUGAACGCUGGCGGCGUGCUUAACACAUGCAAGUCGAACGAAGCAGUCAGACGGAAAUUUUCGGAUGGAAGACUGACUGACUGAGUGGCGGACGGGUGAGUAACGCGUGGGCAACCUGCCUCAUACAGGGGGAUAACACCCAGAAAUGGGUGCUAAUACCGCAUAAGCUUACGGUAUCGCAUGAUACAGUAAGAAAAACUCCGGUGGUAUGAGAUGGGCCCGCGUCUGAUUAGCUAGUUGGUAGGGUAAUGGCCUACCAAGGCAACGAUCAGUAGCCGACCUGAGAGGGUGACCGGCCACAUUGGGACUGAGACACGGCCCAAACUCCUACGGGAGGCAGCAGUGGGGAAUAUUGCACAAUGGGGGAAACCCUGAUGCAGCGACGCCGCGUGAAGGAAGAAGUAUUUCGGUAUGUAAACUUCUAUCAGCAGGGAAGAAAAUGACGGUACCUGACUAAGAAGCCCCGGCUAAUUACGUGCCAGCAGCCGCGGUAAAAC
Molecule: ribosomal RNA, 498 nt
Filed under: uncultured bacterium
Lineage: Bacteria
Description: bacterial SSU rRNA
Rfam family: Bacterial small subunit ribosomal RNA
Source: RNAcentral